Molecule: small nuclear RNA, 107 nt
Organism: Ictidomys tridecemlineatus (thirteen-lined ground squirrel)
Lineage: Eukaryota; Metazoa; Chordata; Mammalia; Rodentia; Sciuridae
Source: Ensembl
GUGCUGGCUUCCGCAGCACAUAUACUAAAAUUAGAAUGAAUCAGAGAAGAUUAGCAUAGCCCCUGCGCAAGGAUGACACACCAAUUGUUGAAGUGUUCCACAUUUUU